This 414-nucleotide ribosomal RNA is filed under the name uncultured microorganism. Its description in RNAcentral is "bacterial SSU rRNA". It matches the Rfam family "Archaeal small subunit ribosomal RNA", at positions 459 to 872 of the family's 1478-position model. The record is from RNAcentral.
CAGCCGCCGCGGUAAUUCCGGCGGCCCGAGUGGCGGCCACUAUUAUUGGGCUUAAAGCGUCCGUAGCCGGGUUGGGAAGUCCUCCGGGAAAUCUGGCCGCUUAACGGUCAGAAUUCCGGGAGAUACUGCCAGCCUAGGGACCGGGAGAGGCCGAGGGUAUUCCCGGAGUAGGGGUGAAAUCCUAUAAUCCCGGGAGGACCACCUGUGGCGAAGGCGCUCGGCUGGAACGGGUCCGACGGUGAGGGACGAAGGCCAGGGGAGCAAACCGGAUUAGAUACCCGGGUAGUCCUGGCUGUAAACGAUGCGGACUUUGUGUCGGACAAGCUAUGAGCUUGUCCGGUGCCGGAGGGAAACCGUUAAGUCCGCCGCCUGGGGAGUACGGCCGCAAGGCUGAAACUUAAAGGAAUUGGCGGG